RNAcentral lists this ribosomal RNA (390 nucleotides) under uncultured eukaryote. Its description in RNAcentral is "SSU rRNA". It matches the Rfam family "Eukaryotic small subunit ribosomal RNA", at positions 587 to 972 of the family's 1831-position model. The record is from RNAcentral.
AGCUCCAGUAGCGUAUAUUAAAGUUGUUGCAGUUAAAAAGCUCGUAGUUGGAUUUCUGGUUGAGUGCGCCUGGCCCGCGGCGGUUACGUCUGUGAGUGCCGGAUGCGCGCUCGCCAUCCUGCUAGGGAACGUUUCUACCCUUCACUGGGCCGGACUCGCGAUCUAGCUCCUUUACUUUGAAAAAAUUAGAGUGUUUAAAGCAGGCUUUUGCUAUGAAUACAUUAGCAUGGAAUAAUGAUCUAGGACUUCGGUUCUAUUUUGUUGGUUUCUAGUACUGAAGUAAUGAUUGAUAGGGAUAGUUGGGGGUGCUAGUAUUGGCCGGCCAGAGGUGAAAUUCUUGGAUUCGGUCAAGACUAACUUAUGCGAAAGCAUUCACCAAGGAUGUCUUCU